CAGGUCCGGGGGGAUUACCCCCUGAGUUUAACCAUAUCAAUAAGCGGAG
RNAcentral lists this ribosomal RNA (49 nucleotides) under Hydnophytum moseleyanum. RNAcentral describes it as "partial 26S rRNA". Lineage: Eukaryota; Viridiplantae; Streptophyta; Magnoliopsida; Gentianales; Rubiaceae. The record is from RNAcentral.